This 468-nucleotide ribosomal RNA is filed under the name uncultured bacterium. RNAcentral describes it as "partial 16S ribosomal RNA". It matches the Rfam family "Bacterial small subunit ribosomal RNA", at positions 28 to 507 of the family's 1533-position model. The record is from RNAcentral.
GACGAACGCUGGCGGCGUGCUUAACACAUGCAAGUCGAACGGAAAGGCCCUGCUUUUGUGGGGUGCUCGAGUGGCGAACGGGUGAGUAACACGUGAGUAACCUGCCCUUGACUUUGGGAUAACUUCAGGAAACUGGGGCUAAUACCGGAUAGGAGCUCCUGCUGCAUGGUGGGGGUUGGAAAGUUUCGGCGGUUGGGGAUGGACUCGCGGCUUAUCAGCUUGUUGGUGGGGUAGUGGCUUACCAAGGCUUUGACGGGUAGCCGGCCUGAGAGGGUUACCGGCCAAAAUGAGACUGAGAAACGGCCCAGACUCCUACGGGAGGCAGCAGUGGGGAAUAUUGCAAAAUGGGCGGAAGCCUGAUGCAGCAACGCCGCGUGCGGGAUGACGGCCUUCGGGUUGUAAACCGCUUUCGCCUGUGACGAAGCGUGAGUGACGGUAAUGGGUAAAGAAGCACCGGCUAACUACGUG